Long non-coding RNA from Solanum stenotomum, 390 nucleotides. RefSeq lists it as uncharacterized. Lineage: Eukaryota; Viridiplantae; Streptophyta; Magnoliopsida; Solanales; Solanaceae. The record is from RefSeq and is a predicted model, not a curated record. The transcript has 2 exons.
UCAUUUCCAAGGUCAUUGUGCUAUAAUUUUCAUUCCACCAGAAGCAAAUGCUAUCAAGGGAAAGUCAACAUCCAGAAAAUCCAUGAAAAUAAAGCAAAAACAAAACAAUUUUUUUUCUUCUGUUCCGGUCUCUUCUAAGUCAGGGAAAUAAAGAAACAAGAGUUGCCCCCCGUCAAAUGCAGAUCUAGUAUAGAAAGAUGAAGCUUUGCACAAAUCGUUGUUACAAUGUUACAGUUACUUGGUGUAACAUAAUUUGGCUACAGUUACAAUGUUGAAUGGAAUGGUAACAUAAUUUCAGUUUUACGAGGUAAGUAAAACAUCAAAAUCACUCAGAGUCCAUUCUGCCACUUCAUCUUUGUCGCUAACAAAAACUUCUGUUCCCACAUCCAG